CCUACGGGAGGCUGCAGUGGGGAAUAUUGCGCAAUGGGCGAAAGCCUGACGCAGCGACGCCGCGUGAGGGAUGAAGGUCUUCGGAUCGUAAACCUCUGUCAGCAGGGAAGAACGGUCACUGUGCUAAUCAGCAGUGAAUUGACGGUACCUGCAAAGGACGCACCGACUAACUCCGUGCCAGCAGCCGCGGUAAUACGGGGGGUGCGAGCGUUAAUCGGAAGUACUGGGCGUAAAGCGCUCGUAGGCGGUAUGUCAAGUCAAGGGUGAAAUCCCCGCGCUCAACGUGGGAACUGCCUUGGAAACUGGCAAACUGGAGUGUGUGAGAGGAUAGUGGAAUUCCAGGUGUAGGAGUGAAAUCCGUAGAUAUCUGGAGGAACAUCAGUGGCGAAGGCGACUAUCUGGCACAUAACUGACGCUGAGGAGCGAAAGCGUGGGUAGCAAACAGGAUUAGAUACCCUGGUAGUC
Molecule: ribosomal RNA, 465 nt
Filed under: uncultured bacterium
Lineage: Bacteria
Description: partial 16S ribosomal RNA
Rfam family: Bacterial small subunit ribosomal RNA
Source: RNAcentral